GGCUCAGUGCCUGAUAGGCCAGUGCUGGUCACAUGUUUAGUGUUUGUGGUUUUGAUGUCACUUGUGGCUCAGUGCCUGAUAGGUCAGUGCUAGGCCCAUGGCUGCAGUUUGUAGUUGUGAGGUCACUUGUGGCUCAGUGCCUGAUAGGCCAGUGCUGUUCCUGUGGGUGGAGUUUGUGGUUGUGAUGUCACUUGUGGCUGAGUGCCUGAUAGGCCAUGCUGGUCCUGUGGGUGGAAUUUUUUUUGUGAUGUCACCUGUGGCUCAGUGCCUGAUAGGCCAGUGCUGGUCACGUGUGUGCAGUUUGUGUUUGUGAUGUCACUUGUGGCUCAGUGCCUGAUAGGCCACUGCUGCUCAUGUUGCUGCCGUUAGUGGUUGUGAUGUCACUUGUGUCUCUGUGCCUGAUAGGCCAGUGCUGGUCCUGUGGCUGCAGUUUGUGGUUGUGACGUCACUUGUGGCUCAGGGCCUGAUAGGGCAGGGGUGGUGCUGUGGGUGCAGUUUGUGUUUGUGAGGUCACUUGUGGCUCAGUGCUUGAUAGGCCAGUGCUGGUCACGUGUGUGUAAUUUGUGGUUGUGAUGUCACUUGUGGCUGAGUGGCACUCAGUGCACCCUCCCCUGUGCUCCCUGCAGGGCCUUGAGCUGGUGGUGCUGCUGUGCAGAGUGAGCAGGCUGUGGUGCCCUGGCGCCAUGGUGUGGCUCCACACUGGAUGUGGUGGUCAGGGUGAGAAGCAGACCCAGCUGGACAGGCAUCAUUGCACCUGACAACACCCUACCAAGGGAUCUGUGGCUGUGGAUGAUGCUCUGAGCAACCACAGGGCAUUUCAAAUGGCUCAGGCUGUGUUCAGGAGUGUCCCUAGAUGCAGCCCAUUGAAGGUGACAUGAACCACUCUCCAGGCUCCCUUCCAUCUGCCUGCAGGGUCUGCACUGCAGGCAUCUGCCACCAGCCCUGUCAUAUGGGAGACAGUGCCAGGCAGAUACCGCUUGACCGUUCAGCACCUCCAGGAGCACUGGGCACCCACAAGUGACAGCUGAAUCCAGCCCCCAUUCCCUAACACGUCAUCCCAUGAGCUCAUCACCUUCAGCCCAUGGAGAGCCUUGGAAAAGCAACAGUCCCUUCUAGGGGGAAAGUCCUGGAGCACAUUCUUGGCUCCAGCUGUGGAAGAAGAAACCAACUUCCAAGCACUGCACUGAGGAAAUCCCCUUUUAUUAGAGACAGGCCAGCUCUGACACAGUGAUAGACACAUUCACAGAAGGCCUCUGAGUCAGACAGAUGAAGUUCGUGCUGCUGGAGAAGUGGGAUGAAGUCAAACACUUUUG
RNAcentral lists this long non-coding RNA (1313 nucleotides) under Apteryx haastii (Great spotted kiwi). Its description in RNAcentral is "lncRNA (ENSAHAG00000013526.1)". The record is from RNAcentral. Lineage: Eukaryota; Metazoa; Chordata; Aves; Apterygiformes; Apterygidae.